GGAGUAUCCCCAAAGCAUGUCUUUUGACAGAUCUUGUGCUGUUGUAUUUAGCAGGUGUGUGCCCAAUCAAGAAGUUUUAUAUUAGUCAUUAGUAUCUUGAACACUAUUGCCUAUCCCCCAUUUCAGUUUCCUUAACUGGGUCUAAAAUAGCUUUGGUCCUAUUCCCUUAUUUCCUGAAUAAGAAAAGGGAUCUUGUUGUUCUUUUUAAAGAAAAAAAAAAAGUUAUAGCAUGACUAAACCAAGACUUCUUCUUGCUGUCAGUCAUUUGCUCCUGUCUCUGUGGCAGGAACACUUAGGCUCAGCACCUCAGAACUGUUGUCCAGGGUACCAGAGCUAGGAGGCAACUCGGGUAGUGUUAGUUGAGGGAGAGCAGUGCCUAAAGAAAAAAGGAGACCUUUGGUAAAGCCCAAGGCUGGGAUGGGGUUACUGUUUCAUAAGUUCAACAAACAUUUGAGCUCCUGUUAUAUGCCAGAUGUUGAAUUAAGUACUGGAGACACUGGGAUGAACAAGCCAGACAUGCCUUCAGGAUGCCCUUGGUAGAGUCUGAUUUUGAGUUUGUUAGAAAAAGAUUUAUCAUAGAUCAAAAACUAGAUGCUGAAUGGCCUUGGGAGUUAAGGUGGAGUUGUAGGUUGGCACUCAACAUUUCUGGAAGGAGUGACUUUUCUGUAAGUAAAAGACAGUUUACAAAUGGCAGUGGGUAGAGACUGCUAGCUGGUCCCCAAACCUACUUCCUCUUCCUAGGCAUUUCCGAGCAUCCCUUGCAUUAGGUGUGGCUUUGUGGCCCAAUUCUCUUCAGUGGAGUGAGAGCAGAGAAGUGUGCCACUUCCAGGCCUAUUUCCAGAGUCUUUGUGCACAGGUUUGUGCCUUUUUCUCAUCUGGCUCAGUGCAGAGGAGUCAUGGAUCUAGAAAGUCCCCUAGCAACUCAGAUGCCAGAGCCACUGCUUAGAGGAGAGCUGUCUGCUGAUUGGGGACAUCUGUUUUGGACUUCACACAGGCUAG
Molecule: long non-coding RNA, 999 nt
Filed under: Marmota monax (woodchuck)
Lineage: Eukaryota; Metazoa; Chordata; Mammalia; Rodentia; Sciuridae
Source: RNAcentral